CAGGUCAACUGAUGAGGUUUUUAGGACCAAAGAUGGAAAAACUGGAAAAAAAGAUGAAUGGUCCAAGAAGUUAAGUAGUUAUGAACCAAGGAGUGGAAAUCUUAAAAAAUCAAGCUCACCAUAAUGUUAGUAUCACACAUGGAAUUGAGGAAGAUGGAUCCUCUGUAUUCAGCUAUCUUGAUGUUUUUUACGACAACCUUGUCAGCCACUGUGAAUGCAUUGGUGAGGUUUGCCUUCUCCCGCCAAAGUUUUAUCUUCAGAGACCUGGGUCUCAGGAUGGUGUUUGAGACCCUCAGAGCUCUAUAAGUGUUCUCAGUCGUAGCAUCCGAUGGUUCAACCUCUUAUGGAAUCUAUUUUAUGAUAAAUAAACAAUAGAGCCUAGUUCCAACCGGUAUGGUGCAUACAUUGCUGGCCUCAACCACUGGUGGACUGAGAAAGUUGUCUAUUACAUCCUGGUAUUGGUUGAUAGCAAAUGGUGCUGAAUCAAAGCACUAAAUAAAAAGAAUGAAUUACUUAAGAUGUAAUGUAAAUUUUUUUUAUUUUAUUUUUUCACAUGAUAUUUUAUCUAUAUUUUAACAUUUAUGUGCAGGAAC
Molecule: long non-coding RNA, 593 nt
Organism: Mytilus californianus (California mussel)
Lineage: Eukaryota; Metazoa; Mollusca; Bivalvia; Mytilida; Mytilidae
Exons: 3
Source: RefSeq, a predicted model, not a curated record